This 862-nucleotide long non-coding RNA is filed under the name Amborella trichopoda. Its description in RNAcentral is "long non-coding RNA (ATRI_LNC004818)". The record is from RNAcentral. Lineage: Eukaryota; Viridiplantae; Streptophyta; Magnoliopsida; Amborellales; Amborellaceae.
AUGUCCCAGAUUUUAAAUUUUGACUUAGGGUAUCCCCACCACAAUGGCACUGUUAUUAGGCAAUUGAUGAAAUUGCCCCGCUUAAGUACUUUAUCUUUCCCGGCUGUGUAUUAUUAACGUCCACAACCAUGAAACUCUUCUCACAAAUUGCACAAUCUUGGCAUAUGAACCAUAUAGUUGUGGUCAAUGGAACAGUCAACAAGUAGUAGAGCACAAUAAAAAAAGGGAAAGGUUUCUAUACUUCCCUUGCUGCAUAGAAGAUGUAUAUUUUACCCCUAGUGAGCCACUGUCUGCUUUAUCUAUAUCCGAUGUUUCAUAUUAUUUUAUUUUUAGUUUUUUUCUACAAAUGAUAUGAAUAUGAAAUUUGGUAUGUGCCAUCUUCUCAUUGGGGUGCACUUCAAAAAAAUAGUAAAAAAAUAUUUUCAGGAACAUACAAUUACCGAAAUACCUUUGAAAAUUUCAGGGUUGUUUUAGUCAUUUUAUUUUAUUAGAAAUAAUUUUUUAAUAUCUUUCAGGUGUGAGGUUAAGAGAGGAGAGGACAUCCAAAAUUUGGUGAUAAAAUAGUUUAUAGAAAAAACUUAAAAAAAAACAAGUGUAGAGAUGUGACAUUGUGAUUGGGAUCAUCUUAGCCGUCCAUUCAAAAUGGAUGGUUGGAUGUAUAGGAGUUUUAUACAGUAGGGGAAGCAUAAAAAGCUUGCCAUAAAAAAAAACCAAUUUUCUUGAUGGUUUCAUAGGAUCAACCUGAAACUCAAAACCAAUUCUAUCAACCUGAAACUCAAAACCAAUUCUUACUUUCAAAUCGUAAGCUUGUUUUUUGAAUAUAUCAGAGCGAAUAUAACACGUUUUUCCUAUGAAUUUUAAU